Molecule: ribosomal RNA, 500 nt
Filed under: uncultured bacterium
Lineage: Bacteria
Description: partial 16S ribosomal RNA
Rfam family: Bacterial small subunit ribosomal RNA
Source: RNAcentral
AUUGAACGCUGGCGGAAUGCUUUACACAUGCAAGUCGAACGGCAGCACGGACUUCGGUCUGGUGGCGAGUGGCGAACGGGUGAGUAAUGUAUCGGAACGUGCCCAGUCGUGGGGGAUAACGUAGUGAAAAUUACGCUAAUACCGCAUACGGUCUAUGGAUGAAAGCGGGGGAUCGCAAGACCUCGCGCGAUUGGAGCGGCCGAUAUCAGAUUAGGUAGUUGGUGGGGUAAAGGCCCACCAAGCCAACGAUCUGUAGCUGGUCUGAGAGGACGACCAGCCACACUGGAACUGAGACACGGUCCAGACUCCUACGGGAGGCAGCAGUGGGGAAUUUUGGACAAUGGGCGAAAGCCUGAUCCAGCCAUUCCGCGUGCAGGAUGAAGGCCCUCGGGUUGUAAACUGCUUUUGUACAGAACGAAAAGGUUUCUACUAAUACUAGGAGCUCAUGACGGUACUGUAAGAAUAAGCACUGGCUAACUACGUGCCAGCCGCCGCAGUAA